RNAcentral lists this ribosomal RNA (427 nucleotides) under uncultured bacterium. RNAcentral describes it as "bacterial SSU rRNA". It matches the Rfam family "Bacterial small subunit ribosomal RNA", at positions 354 to 796 of the family's 1533-position model. The record is from RNAcentral.
GUGGGGAAUCUUGCGCAAUGGGCGAAAGCCUGACGCAGCAACGCCGCGUGCGGGAUGACGGCCUUCGUGGUUGUAAACCGCUUUCAGCAGGGACGAAAUUGACGGUACCUGCAGAAGAAGCCCCGGCUAACUACGUGCCAGCAGCCGCGGUAAUACGUAGGGGGCAAGCGUUGUCCGGAAUCAUUGGGCGUAAAGAGCUCGUAGGCGGUUCAGUAAGUCGGGUGUGAAAGCUCCGAGCUCAACUCGGAGAGGCCACUCGAUACUGCUGUGACUAGAAUCCAGUAGGGGAGUGUGGAAUUCCUGGUGUAGCGGUGAAAUGCGCAGAUAUCAGGAGGAACACCAGCGGCGAAGGCGGCACUCUGGGCUGGUAUUGACGCUGAGGAGCGAAAGUGUGGGUAGCAAACAGGAUUAGAUACCCUGGUAGUCC